This 100-nucleotide ribosomal RNA is filed under the name Anopheles peryassui. Its description in RNAcentral is "partial 5.8S ribosomal RNA". It matches the Rfam family "5.8S ribosomal RNA", at positions 58 to 154 of the family's 154-position model. Rfam says of the family: 5.8S ribosomal RNA (5.8S rRNA) is a component of the large subunit of the eukaryotic ribosome. It is transcribed by RNA polymerase I as part of the 45S precursor that also contains 18S and 28S rRNA. Functionally, it is thought that 5.8S rRNA may be involved in ribosome translocation. The record is from RNAcentral. Lineage: Eukaryota; Metazoa; Arthropoda; Insecta; Diptera; Culicidae.
CCGCGGUGUGAACUGCAGGACACAUGAACACCGAUAAGUUGAACGCAUACGGCACAUCGUGCGACACAGCUCGAUGUACAUAUCUUUGAGCGUCCAUGUU